RNAcentral lists this ribosomal RNA (170 nucleotides) under uncultured bacterium. Its description in RNAcentral is "partial 16S ribosomal RNA". It matches the Rfam family "Bacterial small subunit ribosomal RNA", at positions 346 to 509 of the family's 1533-position model. The record is from RNAcentral.
AGGCAGCAGUGGGGAAUAUUGCGCAAUGGGCGAAAGCCUGACGCAGCGACGCCGCGUGAGGGAUGAAGGUCUUCGGAUCGUAAACCUCUGUCAGCAGGAAGAACGGUCACUGUGCUAAUCAGCAGUGAAUUGACGGUACCUGCAAAGGAAGCACCGGCUAACUCCGUGCC